This is a small nucleolar RNA of Artibeus jamaicensis (Jamaican fruit-eating bat), 131 nucleotides long. RefSeq annotates it as small nucleolar RNA SNORA13. The transcript has a single exon. The record is from RefSeq and is a predicted model, not a curated record. Lineage: Eukaryota; Metazoa; Chordata; Mammalia; Chiroptera; Phyllostomidae.
UUCCUUUGUGUUGCCCGUUCACUUUUGGAAACUAGUGAAUGUGGUGUCAAGAAAGGUGUAAACUAAAUACUUUGCAGCCCUUUCCUGCCCUUGAAUAUGUCUUUGGUGUAGGAGCUACAUAAGUAACAGUG